RNAcentral lists this ribosomal RNA (943 nucleotides) under uncultured cyanobacterium. RNAcentral's name for it is "bacterial SSU rRNA". It matches the Rfam family "Bacterial small subunit ribosomal RNA", at positions 8 to 996 of the family's 1533-position model. Lineage: Bacteria; Bacillati; Cyanobacteriota. The record is from RNAcentral.
AGAGUUUGAUCCUGGCUCAGGAUGAACGCUGGCGGCGUGCUUAACACAUGCAAGUCGAACGAACCUUCGGGUUAGUGGCGGACGGGUGAGUAACGCGUGAGAAUCUGCCCUCAGGAGGGGGAUAACGGCUGGAAACGGCCGCUAAUACCCCAUAUGCCGAGAGGUGAAAUGAGUUUUCGCCUGAGGAUGAGCUCGCGUCUGGUUAGCUAGUUGGUGGGGUAAAGGCCUACCAAGGCAUCGAUCAGUAGCUGGUCUGAGAGGAUGAUCAGCCACACUGGGACUGAGACACGGCCCAGACUCCUACGGGAGGCAGCAGUGGGGAAUUUUCCGCAAUGGGCGAAAGCCUGACGGAGCAACGCCGCGUGAGGGAUGAAGGCCUCUGGGCUGUAAACCUCUUUUCUCAAGGAAGAAGAUCUGACGGUACUUGAGGAAUAAGCCACGGCUAAUUCCGUGCCAGCAGCCGCGGUAAUACGGGAGUGGCAAGCGUUAUCCGGAAUUAUUGGGCGUAAAGCGUCCGCAGGCGGCCUUUUAAGUCUGUUGUUAAAGCGUGGAGCUUAACUCCAUUUAAGCAAUGGAAACUGGAAGGCUAGAGUGUGGUAGGGGCAGAGGGAAUUCCCGGUGUAGCGGUGAAAUGCGUAGAUAUCGGGAAGAACACCAGUGGCGAAGGCGCUCUGCUGGGCCAUAACUGACGCUCAUGGACGAAAGCCAGGGGAGCGAAAGGGAUUAGAUACCCCUGUAGUCCUGGCCGUAAACGAUGAACACUAGGUGUCGGGGGAAUCGACCCCCUCGGUGUCGUAGCCAACGCGUUAAGUGUUCCGCCUGGGGGGUACGCACGCAAGUGUGAAACUCAAAGGAAUUGACGGGGGCCCGCACAAGCGGUGGAGUAUGUGGUUUAAUUCGAUGCAACGCGAAAAACCUUACCAGGGUUUGACAUCCUGCGAAU